AAGAAAUAAAACCUGGUAAGGUGAGCCUCUUAUGCAGUCAAAUGCUCUACACCUGAAUUCUCCCAUCAGUAUUGUGCUGCUGCUGCUGCUGCUGCUAAGUCGCUUCAGUCAUGUUCGACUCUGUGCGACCCCAUAGAUGGCAGCCGACCAGACUCCCCCGUCCCCGGGAUUCUCCAGGCAAGAACACUGGAGUGGGUUGCCAUUUCCUCCUCCAAUGCAUGAAAGUGAAGAGUGAAAGUGAAGUCGCUCAGUCGUGUCCGACUCUUCAUGACCCCAUGGACUGCAGCCUACCAGGCUCCUCCAUCCAUGGAAUUUUCCAGGCAAGAGUACUGGAGUGGGGUGCCACUGCCUUCUCUGAAUAUUGUGCUAGUUUCUGCCAUACGUCAACAUGAAUCAGCCAUAGAUAUACUUAUGUCCCCUUCUUCUUGAACUUCCCUCCCACCUUACAUCCCAUCCCAACCCCUCUAGGUUGUCACAGAGCACUGGGUUUGAGCUUCCUGUAUCCUACAGCAAAUUUCCAUUGGCUAUCUAUUUUACCAACCUAGAUAGCAUAUUAAAAAGCAGAGACAUUACUUUGUCAACGAAGGUCCAUCUAGUCAAGGCUACGGUUUUUCCAGUGGUCAUGUAUGGAUGUGAGAGUUGGACUAUAAAAAAAGCUGAGUGCCAAAUAAUUGAUGCUUUUGAACUGUGGUGUUGGAGAAGACUCUUGAGAGUCCCUUGGACUGCAAGGAGAUCCAAUCAGUCCAUCCUAAAGGAGAUCAGUCCUGGAUGUUCACUGGAAAGACUGAUGCUAAAGCUGAAACUCCAAUACUUUAGCCAGCUGAUGCAAAGAGCUGACUCAUUUGAAAAGACCCUGAUGCUGAGAAAGAUUGAAGGCAGGAGGAGAAGGGGCCGACAGAGGAUGAGAUGGCUGGAUAGCAUCACCAACUCAAUGGACAUGGGUUUGGGUGGACUCCAGGAGUUGGUAAUGGACAGGGAGGCCUGGUGUGCUGUGGUUCAUGGGGUUGCAAAGAGUCAGACACGACUGAGCGACUGAACUGAACUGAACUGAAUUUAUAUGUCCCAAGGUUACUUUUUCAAUUCAUCCCUCCUCCUUCCACCACUGCGUCCACAAGUCUGUUCCCUGACUACAUCUCCAAUGCUGCCCUGCAAAUAGGUUCAUCAAUCCUAUUUUCUAGAUUCCAUAUAUAUGCGUUAGUAUACGAUAUUUGUUAUUCUCUUUCUGAUUUACUUCACUCUGUAUACUAGGUUCUUGGUUCAUCCACCUCAUUAGAACUGACUCAAAUGCAUCCCUUUUUAUGGCUGAGUAAUAUUGCAUUGCAUGUAUGUGCCACAACUUCUCUAUCCGUUCAUCUGUCAGUGGACAUUCAGGUUGCCUCCAUAUCCAAGCCUCUGCAAACAGUGCUGCAGUGAACACUGAGGUACAUGCGUCUCUUUCAAUUCUGGUUUCCUCCAAGUAAACCUUCUAUCAGUUAACCCAGUAGCGGGAUUGACUGAUGUGAUUUUAUCUGUUGUGUGGUUGUUAUUAUCUUAAUCUAGAACCAAAAAUAUCCCAACUUUCAUUAUUUGUCAUGAGGCCUUUAACCGAAUUCAAUUAUGCCUUAAAGUUCAACUUGUAUUAUACUUUAAUAUG
This is a long non-coding RNA of Bos taurus (domestic cattle), 1633 nucleotides long. The record is from Ensembl. Lineage: Eukaryota; Metazoa; Chordata; Mammalia; Artiodactyla; Bovidae.